GCAUCGGUGGUUCAGUGGUAGAAUACUCGCCUGCCACGCGGGCGCCCCGGGUUCGAUUCCUGGCCGAUGCA
This 71-nucleotide transfer RNA is filed under the name Heliconius melpomene (postman butterfly). RNAcentral's name for it is "tRNA HMEL008715". It matches the Rfam family "tRNA". From Rfam's summary of the family: Transfer RNA (tRNA) molecules are approximately 80 nucleotides in length. Their secondary structure includes four short double-helical elements and three loops (D, anti-codon, and T loops). Lineage: Eukaryota; Metazoa; Arthropoda; Insecta; Lepidoptera; Nymphalidae. The record is from RNAcentral.